UGGGGCAGCCUUACCAGCUCUUGCUGGGAUCCCAUCAAAUCUCACAAGCUAAACGGGGCAGGCCAUGUCAGUACUUGGGAGGAGACUUCUAGCCAGGGGCGGCUCUAG
Molecule: ribosomal RNA, 108 nt
Filed under: Chelonoidis abingdonii (Abingdon island giant tortoise)
Lineage: Eukaryota; Metazoa; Chordata; Testudines; Testudinidae
Source: RNAcentral